AGGCGAAAAGAACCCCGGCGAGGGGAGUGAAAAAGAACCUGAAACCGUGUACGUACAAGCAGUGGGAGCACGCUUAGGCGUGUGACUGCGUACCUUUUGUAUAAUGGGUCAGCGACUUAUAUUCUGUAGCAAGGUUAACCGAAUAGGGGAGCCGAAGGGAAACCGAGUCUUAACUGGGCGUUAAGUUGCAGGGUAUAGACCCGAAACCCGGUGAUCUAGCCAUGGGCAGGUUGAAGGUUGGGUAACACUAACUGGAGGACCGAACCGACUAAUGUUGAAAAAUUAGCGGAUGACUUGUGGCUGGGGGUGAAAGGCCAAUCAAACCGGGAGAUAGCUGGUUCUCCCCGAAAGCUAUUUAGGUAGCGCCUCGUGAAUUCAUCUCCGGGGGUAGAGCACUGUUUCGGCAAGGGGGUCAUCCCGACUUACCAACCCGAUGCAAACUGCGAAUACCGGAGAAUGUUAUCACGGGAGACACACGGCGGGUGCUAACGUCCGUCGUGAAGAGGGAAACAACCCAGACCGCCAGCUAAGGUCCCAAAGUCAUGGUUAAGUGGGAAACGAUGUGGGAAGGCCCAGACAGCCAGGAUGUUGGCUUAGAAGCAGCCAUCAUUUAAAGAAAGCGUAAUAGCUCACUGGUCGAGUCGGCCUGCGCGGAAGAUGUAACGGGGCUAAACCAUGCACCGAAGCUGCGGCAGCGACGCUUAUGCGUUGUUGGGUAGGGGAGCGUUCUGUAAGCCUGUGAAGGUGUACUGUGAGGUAUGCUGGAGGUAUCAGAAGUGCGAAUGCUGACAUAAGUAACGAUAAAGCGGGUGAAAAGCCCGCUCGCCGGAAGACCAAGGGUUCCUGUCCAACGUUAAUCGGGGCAGGGUGAGUCGACCCCUAAGGCGAGGCCGAAAGGCGUAGUCGAUGGGAAACAGGUUAAUAUUCCUGUACUUGGUGUUACUGCGAAGGGGGGACGGAGAAGGCUAUGUUGGCCGGGCGACGGUUGUCCCGGUUUAAGCGUGUAGGCUGGUUUUCCAGGCAAAUCCGGAAAAUCAAGGCUGAGGCGUGAUGACGAGGCACUACGGUGCUGAAGCAACAAAUGCCCUGCUUCCAGGAAAAGCCUCUAAGCAUCAGGUAACAUCAAAUCGUACCCCAAACCGACACAGGUGGUCAGGUAGAGAAUACCAAGGCGCUUGAGAGAACUCGGGUGAAGGAACUAGGCAAAAUGGUGCCGUAACUUCGGGAGAAGGCACGCUGAUAUGUAGGUGAAGCGACUUGCUCGUGGAGCUGAAAUCAGUCGAAGAUACCAGCUGGCUGCAACUGUUUAUUAAAAACACAGCACUGUGCAAACACGAAAGUGGACGUAUACGGUGUGACGCCUGCCCGGUGCCGGAAGGUUAAUUGAUGGGGUUAGCGCAAGCGAAGCUCUUGAUCGAAGCCCCGGUAAACGGCGGCCGUAACUAUAACGGUCCUAAGGUAGCGAAAUUCCUUGUCGGGUAAGUUCCGACCUGCACGAAUGGCGUAAUGAUGGCCAGGCUGUCUCCACCCGAGACUCAGUGAAAUUGAACUCGCUGUGAAGAUGCAGUGUACCCGCGGCAAGACGGAAAGACCCCGUGAACCUUUACUAUAGCUUGACACUGAACAUUGAGCCUUGAUGUGUAGGAUAGGUGGGAGGCUUUGAAGUGUGGACGCCAGUCUGCAUGGAGCCGACCUUGAAAUACCACCCUUUAAUGUUUGAUGUUCUAACGUUGACCCGUAAUCCGGGUUGCGGACAGUGUCUGGUGGGUAGUUUGACUGGGGCGGUCUCCUCCUAAAGAGUAACGGAGGAGCACGAAGGUUGGCUAAUCCUGGUCGGACAUCAGGAGGUUAGUGCAAUGGCAUAAGCCAGCUUGACUGCGAGCGUGACGGCGCGAGCAGGUGCGAAAGCAGGUCAUAGUGAUCCGGUGGUUCUGAAUGGAAGGGCCAUCGCUCAACGGAUAAAAGGUACUCCGGGGAUAACAGGCUGAUACCGCCCAAGAGUUCAUAUCGACGGCGGUGUUUGGCACCUCGAUGUCGGCUCAUCACAUCCUGGGGCUGAAGUAGGUCCCAAGGGUAUGGCUGUUCGCCAUUUAAAGUGGUACGCGAGCUGGGUUUAGAACGUCGUGAGACAGUUCGGUCCCUAUCUGCCGUGGGCGCUGGAGAACUGAGGGGGGCUGCUCCUAGUACGAGAGGACCGGAGUGGACGCAUCACUGGUGUUCGGGUUGUCAUGCCAAUGGCACUGCCCGGUAGCUAAAUGCGGAAGAGAUAAGUGCU
RNAcentral lists this ribosomal RNA (2275 nucleotides) under Escherichia coli 2-474-04_S1_C2. RNAcentral describes it as "bacterial LSU rRNA". It matches the Rfam family "Bacterial large subunit ribosomal RNA", at positions 512 to 2772 of the family's 2925-position model. Lineage: Bacteria; Pseudomonadati; Pseudomonadota; Gammaproteobacteria; Enterobacterales; Enterobacteriaceae. The record is from RNAcentral.